This 130-nucleotide ribosomal RNA is filed under the name Vibrio parahaemolyticus. Its description in RNAcentral is "partial 16S ribosomal RNA". It matches the Rfam family "Bacterial small subunit ribosomal RNA", at positions 1 to 111 of the family's 1533-position model. Lineage: Bacteria; Pseudomonadati; Pseudomonadota; Gammaproteobacteria; Vibrionales; Vibrionaceae. The record is from RNAcentral.
UUAAAUUGAAGAGUUUGAUCAUGGCUCAGAUUGAACGCUGGCGGCAGGCCUAACACAUGCAAGUCGAGCGGAAACGAGUUAUCAGAACCUUCGGGGGACGAUAACGGCGUCGAGCGGCGGACGGGUGAGU